RNAcentral lists this ribosomal RNA (450 nucleotides) under uncultured bacterium. RNAcentral describes it as "partial 16S ribosomal RNA". It matches the Rfam family "Bacterial small subunit ribosomal RNA", at positions 354 to 796 of the family's 1533-position model. The record is from RNAcentral.
GUGGGGAAUAUUGGACAAUGGGCGAAAGCCUGAUCCAGCCAUGCCGCGUGUGUGAAGAAGGUCUUCGGAUUGUAAAGCACUUUAAGUUGGGAGGAAGGGCAGUAAGUUAAUACCUUGCUGUUUUGACGUUACCGACAGAAUAAGCACCGGCUAACUUCGUGCCAGCAGCCGCGGUAAUACGAAGGGUGCAAGCGUUAAUCGGAAUUACUGGGCGUAAAGCGCGCGUAGGUGGUUUUGUAAGGUGGAGGUGAGAUCCCCGGGCUCAACCUGGGAACUGACUCCAAAACUGCAUGACUAGAGUACGGGAGAGGAGAGUGGAAUUUCCUGUGUAGCGGUGAAAUGCGUAGAUAUAGGAAGGAACACCAGUGGCGAAGGCGACUACCUGGACUGAUACUGACACUGAGGUGCGAAAGCGUGGGGAGCAAACAGGAUUAGAAACCCCAGUAGUCC